Molecule: long non-coding RNA, 880 nt
Organism: Sardina pilchardus (European sardine)
Lineage: Eukaryota; Metazoa; Chordata; Actinopteri; Clupeiformes; Clupeidae
Exons: 4
Source: RefSeq, a predicted model, not a curated record
GACUCAAAGGCUUUUACUGCCGAAUUGAAUGUUGAAUUGAACAAUAGGUCCGUAGCUUAGACUCCAGUGAUUGUAGGCUACUAGGUGUUAUGGUUUGAUAUUUUUAAAUGUGAUACCCGAGAUAUGUACAGCAGACUACAAUUGAGUCAAUAAGCUAGACCAGGAAUGUUAUCAUUGAAUUUAAUUUGAGAGGUCAACAGCUUAGAACGUAGCCUAACAGUGAUAGAGAAAACAUUUCUAUGGCUCUGACCUAACAGUUUUCAUGAGGCCAGACAUUUCCCAAAUAUUCAAUUUUAAGCGGCUCGGGAACGUUGAGACUGUUGGGGGGGAACGAGUGAAGAGUUCCACAUGCUUGGCAGCGGAGAGCUUGUCUACUGUACUGCCACAUCACCAAGACACCCACCCUGGGGCCCUGCUUGUGUUGCUCAUCCUCUUUGGAAGCAACAAGAACACAGUGAAUAAUGAUGCAGGACAGGCAGUUGCUGCAGGCACCAAUUUCAGUGAGUCAAGGGGAGGAAGCUGAUGCUGCACAGGAUUUCCUGGAAAGCAGCAGUAGGAUGGGACUGUGGACUGCAACAGCGUUGAGCCAGGUGCGUCAAGGCCUACAUGCAUGAUGUCUCUCGCUUGGAAUGAGUAUAAAGCUUGACAAGCAACAGGUUCAGUGCUUCACCCCUUGGCCCUCAGCAUGUUGAAAAGAACAGAUACAAAUUCUACAUGAAAAUAAUUGGAGAGUUGGUUACAUUUCUUGCAGUGAAAGAGCUGCCAUUGUGUUGAGAUCAGGGCAGUACUAAUGAUGAGUGUUAAAUGUGCUGAUGGCCUGGCUGUUGGUCUGAAAUUAUACGAAUACACACUUGAGAAGGAUACAGUAUGUAGGCCAAGA